AAAUCAUGCAUAGGACAUUUUCUAUACAAUUCCUUAAAUCUUUCCCAAGCUUCGUGAAGUGUUUCAUCCUUUAAUUACCGAAAAGAUGUGAUGUCAUUUCUGAGCUU
Molecule: non-coding RNA, 107 nt
Organism: Gossypium raimondii (Peruvian cotton)
Lineage: Eukaryota; Viridiplantae; Streptophyta; Magnoliopsida; Malvales; Malvaceae
Source: Rfam